Molecule: transfer RNA, 72 nt
Filed under: Camelus bactrianus (Bactrian camel)
Lineage: Eukaryota; Metazoa; Chordata; Mammalia; Artiodactyla; Camelidae
Also listed under: 2 other names
Rfam family: tRNA
About the family: Transfer RNA (tRNA) molecules are approximately 80 nucleotides in length. Their secondary structure includes four short double-helical elements and three loops (D, anti-codon, and T loops). Further hydrogen bonds mediate the characteristic L-shaped molecular structure. tRNAs have two regions of fundamental functional importance: the anti-codon, which is responsible for specific mRNA codon recognition, and the 3' end, to which the tRNAs corresponding amino acid is attached (by aminoacyl-tRNA synthetases). tRNAs cope with the degeneracy of the genetic code in two manners: having more than one tRNA (with a specific anti-codon) for a particular amino acid; and 'wobble' base-pairing, i.e. permitting non-standard base-pairing at the 3rd anti-codon position.
Source: Rfam by way of RNAcentral
GUGGGUGUAGCUCAGUGGUAGAGCACAUGCUUAGCAUGCACGAGGUCCUGGGUUCAAACCCCAGUGCCUCCA